Molecule: small nucleolar RNA, 131 nt
Organism: Erinaceus europaeus (western European hedgehog)
Lineage: Eukaryota; Metazoa; Chordata; Mammalia; Eulipotyphla; Erinaceidae
Source: Ensembl
AAAGCACUUUCACAGGUCCUCCCCUAGAUUGUGGGGAUACGAUUUGGUAGCUGGUGCUGAAAAAAAUAUCCUUGACUGCAUUCUUGCCCUGGAUCUGUGCCAGUGGCAGCUGUCAGCUUGAUGGGGCACAA